RNAcentral lists this long non-coding RNA (15250 nucleotides) under Homo sapiens (human). Its description in RNAcentral is "HSALNT0186958". The record is from RNAcentral. Lineage: Eukaryota; Metazoa; Chordata; Mammalia; Primates; Hominidae.
UGGCUUGUUCCUAACUCGCGGCCAAUCACCACACUGCCAGAUGGUGCGAAAGAUUUACCGGAAUUUCGUUUUCAAAUAAACCACAAGCUUGGAUGAGCUAAUGUUGUUCCACAUAAAAAAGCCACAAAACUGGACAAAUUAACGUUGUUUCAAGAAAGGAAACUUGUCCGGGCCAUCAGGUCUGCCCUCUCAGGGGGCACCAAUAUCUGCACCAAGACACUGGGGACGCCCCUGCCUCCCUUACCGCUGACUCCACAAAAUAACUUAGGGGGAAUUAUAUUUUCCUGUGGAACCAAAUCAUUUCUGUCAAGUUCAUCUCAGUUGCACCAAGAGUCUGAGGAUGGCAAUGCCUCUUCCGGCCUGUCAGCAAUGGUUGCAGUCUCUCCCAACACUGCCUGUGAGCGCUCCCGGGACAGGGCCACUAGCCCAGCAGGUCAGCUUGGGCUGCUUAGCAGGGACAUUUAGCAUGAUUUAUAAACCACAAUGGCAUGGGUGAGAGUGGCUUCCGGGAAGGCCCCACCCUCAGCAGCAGUGGCCAUAAAGCCUAAUGGAAAAAGCUUCCAUGAUUGGGAUCCUGGAUUCUCACCCCUGCUGUACCACUUAGCGGCAGAACCAUGAACAGAUUGAAAGACUCUAAAGAACAUGAUUUUCUCAUUCUUAGGAUGGAAACAGCCUGGGUGCGGUGGCUCACACCUGUAAUCCCAGCACUUUGGGAGGCCGAUGCAGGAGGAUAACUUAAGGCCAGGAGUUUGAGACAAGCCUGGGCAACAUAGCAAGAACCCCCCACUGCCCUUCUCAACAACAAAAAAGAGCCAGAUGUGGUGGCACAUGCCUAUUGUCCUAGCUCAGGAGAAUGAGGCAGGUGGAUUGCUUGAGCCAAGGAGUUCAAGGCUACAGUGAGCUAUGAUCAUGCCAGUGCACUCCAGCCUGGGUGACAGAAUGAGACCCUGUCUCUAAAUAGAUAAAUAAAUAAAUAAAAAUAAAAAAGAUAGAGAUAAUAAUAUUAAGCCAACAAGGUUGUUGUAAGGAUAAAACUGAGUUAAUAUGUAAAGUCCUUUAGUGCUGUGCUCAACACACAAGAAGUGCUCCUCCCUACAUGUGGACACUACAUGGGAUGAUAUGAUGAUGAUGAUGAUGAUGAUGACGAUGACGAUGUCAGCCAUGUGGCUGCCCCUCAUCUUAUAGCACUUAUCUUGUCCAUCUGGUGCUAAAGAGCCAGUCUCAGAGGAGGUAUGUCAUCUGCUUCCUAUGGUCAGCUGAGUUGAACAAAAUACCAUGAAGUGAUUCAAGCCAGGAAGUCAAUCAAUAUAACUCAAGCUGAAAGAGCCCUUCUUUAAAGAAUCUAAAGAAUUGCCUCAUCUUUCCUCCUUCCUUUUCUCAACCAAACAACAAAAUGUUUUGCCUUAAGAAUUAGAUGCCUUAAGGAUUUUGUUUUAAAUUAGAAUUUUAUGAAUGUCCUUCCUCUCUGAAAUUUUAUAUUAUAAAUAUGUGUAGAAAUACUCUAAAGGGAUGUCUGUGAUCUGGGUGUUGGGAUUUCAUCUUGCUACAUGGGAUAAUGAAAUACGGAACUUAUUUGAGCAGAGAUUCAGGUCUAUUGAGAAUUAUAACCAAAGUACCGCUUAUUGAGCACUUUCUAAGCUAAACGACUUUAUAUACUUUAUCGAAUCCUUACUAUAAAUUUAUAUUUUCUCCAUUUUGCAAAUGAAAAUUCUAAAGAAAAAUUUUACUAGUUGUAAAAAGGCCAUAUCUGCUUGGCCAUAAGACCUGUUUAUGCUAUUCUGUCUCACUAACAAAUUUUUAGAUAGAAGUCACUAGAGAUGAACAUUAGGCUAACCUUAAAAGAUAAUGAUGGAGAAAAAGAAAAACACUCAAAAUGCUUUACAAGUUUUACUUUAGUCUUCACAACCACCCUACGAGGUAGCAGCUUUUGUUGCCUUCAUUUUACAGAUGAGGGAUCCAAGCAGAGAAAUCAGUUGUGUGCCAGACUCACAUAGCUGGUGGCCCGUAGCAGAGCUGGGAUUCAAACCCAGGCAGUUUGACCUUGAGCUUUGUGUUAUGCUGUCAUAGGCAGGGGUCAGUCUCCUGAAGCCUUGCACAGGGAAGGAAAUGUUCCCUUCCUUGUGCAUUAGGCAAGCUGCCCUGAACUUCCUGCAGCACCCACCAUAGAAUAACCCACCAACUCCAUAGGAAACCUCGCUUAUGCACCCAGAUCUGGUCUGUGAUUUGCUACAGAAAGACAAGAAAUGGCCUGUGGCUUCUUGCUAGCCUGCACUACCAGGCAAUUACUUUUCAGGAGUGGUGGGAAGCCAAACAAAUUCUGAACAUCCUUAUCUGGAACCUGUUUCAUGCAGAGAAGGCCUGCUUGUAAACACAACAGGACGUACAAGCUGAUGAGGAGAAGGCUAUCUUUUUGAACGUUGCCCCUGGGGGACUGGGAGGUCUGCUAGCCCUGGCUCCUCGGGCAAGACCACAACCCUCUAACUGGGCCUCACUUUCUGCUUUGGCUGAGCUGGGAACGGCCAGCAAGGGAGGAGUCGCGGGUGAGGGAGCACAUUGGCCUCCACCUUGGCAAUGCUGCUGUCCCCAAGGGAAAUGUUCCAGGGAAUGUCCUCAGCACCACAGAGAACUGAAAUCCUGGAGAAAACUGGCCUAAGGAGCUCAGAAAGGCCAAUAAAACUGGGGCAUUUGGGGAAGAAGAGGAAAUGGAAUGGCAUUAUUGGAUGAUUUAAAUGUGGUGUGUUGCUAUGGUUCCCAGCCUUCUUGAAAGUCACAGACAUGGUGUAUGGGCUGAAUUGUGUCUUCCCAAAACUCACAUGUUGAGUACAGUACUACAAAAUAUAUUUGAAGAGAUUUGAGUUACAGCACUACACAUUUGAGUUACAGUACUACAAAAUGUAUUUGAAGACGGAGCCUUUGAAGGGGUAAUUGAGUUAAAAUGAGGUCAUAAGGUGGUCCCUAAUCCAAGGCGAUUGGUGUCCUUAUAAAGAGAGAAGAUACCAUAGAAGGAAGACCCUGCGAAGAUAAAGGGAAGAGACAACCAUCUGCAAGCAGAGGAGAGAGGCUUCAAAAGAAACCAACUCUGCCAGCACCUUGAUCUUGGACUUCUAACAUCUAGAACCAUGAGAAAAUAAAUUUCUGCUGUUUAAGCCACCCAGUCUAUUGUAUUAAUACUUUGUUACGGCAGUCCAAGUUGAGUAAUGUACAAGGUGACCCUGCAAUUCCCUAGAUUUGGAGUGCUUGGCUUUUGUUUGUAGCUCAAAGCCUGUCUCUUUUACAGGUAGCUCUCAGAAGACAAGUGAGGGGACACGCAGAAAGGGAGGUCCUUCUUCCCCCACUACAAUCCCUGAGCAUGGAUGGAGAUGGGAGGGCUGGGAUCCUCAGUUCUGUGAGAAAAAUACAAAGGACCAUAAGCCCUGGUGAGAAGGGAGAGUCUCCCUGAGGCACUAGUAAGGAAGUGACCUGGACCUGGACCUCCCACUCCAGGACAUUUUAACCAGCCCUGUGUCAACAGAGCAUGCGCAACCCAGAGGACAUUUUCUUUGAGCCCCACUUUACAGUCUCAUUUACCUGGAGCCUGGCUGGGCUCCAUCAGCCCCCAUUCAGUUAAGAAACUGCCAAAGGAGCAGUUUAUCCAUAUGCCUGCAGGAUAUUAAGGGAAAUGAAUUUUGUGUUCUGGCUGAGAGGGCCUCAGUGGACACUUCCAAAAGGAACCCUGAUUCACAGUAUUUGAUACUUGGUUAUUGGCUUUGGUAGAGCUUGGUUUUGUGUUCUGUCUUCUGAGAGGCAGGUACUGGACACCAGAAGCAGCAGGAUAAUGGCCCUGAAGGAGUCCUGACUGCAACCCCCUGACCACCACCACCGGAGAAUUUGCUCCAGCUUUACUCUCUUCUGAUUUUCCAGAAAUCUGGCAUUUUAAAUAGCUAUUUUGUGUUGGCCUCUUUUCUUCCUUUCUAAAAAGUAUGUUUUAAUUAAAUGUUCUUUGGUUGCUGGCUAAGCUAACCCCAAAGGUUGGUGUCCCUGGUGUGGGCGGGAGAGGUUGAGUUCACACUGCCUUUCAAAGCAGUGCCAGUCCCUUCUGCCCUCUGCGAAGCCCACGUGAAGGGAAGACAAUGGGUUACUGUGGGCCACAGAGCCAUGUCCCCUCACACUGCUCUCCCCUCAGGGCUGCCAGGUGUGGUUGGGGCCUGAGACAAGCUUCUCGCCUCAUCAUUCCUUUCGAGGCAACACUUAAAACAGAGAGGGCUUCAGAAGGAAACAGCACAACCAGCGUCUCAGCACAUGCGGCAAUUCAGAGAGGAAGUACGUUCUAGAACAAAAAUUAAACCCUAAACCUAUAGGUACCAGCUCCAUCCUGCCAUAAAUGCAUCAUACGCUUGGAACUUCCAACACAACCCCGAGAAUGCUGCUCGCUCCCACGAGCUGACGGCAGGCCUGGCCCUCCGCCAGGGAGUUCACUUGCAAAGCUGGAAACUCCCUAACUUAAAACAAUGUCUGGGUGUUUUCUGCUUCAUAGGGGCUCAGAAGGAAGGUAAAAAGCUCAGUAAAUUUGUUGUUUGACAUCUCACUCUGAGUACUGUGUGUUUCAUCUGCCUUCACUCUCACAAUUAUUAUCAACUUGCUGGCUAUAAAAGGCAGGGGCUACAAACUCAGUGAGCCAAAUGCAGUGCUUGCUUCCUAUCUGUGGUCCAUUGCAUAGCAGUGUGCUUGGGUGCUGCGUAAGACAAUUCCCCCCAACGCCUCCAAAAAAUAGGACAUGGUCCACUGCAGGAGUUCAUAAUCUAGGAGUCCAGAGAGUCCAGGCUCAUCAUCCCUUCAGAAGAAAGAAUCUUCAGGCCUCUGCUCUUGUGAGAGUAAUUUCUCUUAACACCGACAGUGCAGCAAUACAACUACCACCACCUUUCAAUUAUUGAGAGGCAAUCAUCUAAAGCAUUUGGCAAGUGAUCCACUUACGGAGCCAAGCUAAGGGAGCUGAAGAGAAGAGGCCGCCGCCCCAACCCAGCUACUCCAUGUGCUACUUUCUCUCGCAACUUUGAGCAAGAAUGUUAGAUCUUUUGCUGGGGGCCUUCGGAAGCCGUGAGGGAGCAUAUCCUGACACCCACAUAGAAGACCUGGUACCUAUGUUUCCACAUCACAAAGCAGGCCAACAAGCACACAAGGCCGCAGACCAAAUUAAGAAUCAUCUGGAUGAGUAAGAACAGUUUGAAAGUGCCAGUGACGCUGGUACAGUCCGUCACAUCCCGGUAAACAAAGGUCCUGCUGAGCGGCUCCGAGGAGGGCAGUUUGCACUGGCAAGAGUCGAGUGUGGUCUCACAGAGCUGCUUGACAGGGUUGUCUGGGGAAUACAACCUUACCCUGUCAAAUGCCUUUCAAUGUUUUUCUUCUCCUUCCUUACCCCCGUUUCAUCGUGUACCUGCAAUGGGACUCUAUUUCUGAUAUUAGAAAACCACCCAAUGGAACUGAUAAAAAUGAGUUGGAACUUGUGACCAGCAGCUGGAUGAGAGGAGUGUGAAUCCCCCAAAUCUUAUGGAUAUAGUGUGCUUUCUUUGAUGUUCCUGCCAAAGUGAGGCUGGAAAGCUAGGAAGAUCUGUAAGACGUGUGCCAGCACAAAGUGACUACAAUUCAAAAGUUCCAAAAACCUUGCUUGAAACAAUUGCAAAUAGCUCAUCAUUUUAAACCAGUGAACCCAAGGCUGAGUGUUUCAUCAAUUUACAGAAAACCAAGAAGAGAAAUCUGACAGCUAUCCCAGUGUAUGACUUACCAUGGAGAUCUUCAAAUAGAAUCACUUUGGUUUGGGUCUCAUUUUCAUAUUAUAACACAAAUUUGUGUAUGUGGGUUAAGAUUCAUAUUUGAUAGGAACUGCUGGGAAUUCUUGCAGUUAUAUCCUCAAAAGACAAAAUAAGCAUAACCAACAGAAUUGUGAAGCAAUAAAGUUGAUUAUGGAUGAAAACUGGGCUGAACAGUCAUAGGACAUGACUUGUUCCUUUGACCUAAAAUGUGCUUUUCUUUCCUUAUCUACCCAGUGUAAUGGUACUACUCUUUCAACCAUCUUGAAUUCACUCACACUUAUUCGUCAAAUCCUGCUCAGCUAUUCCCACUACCCACAAAGUGUACCUUUUUCGUAUUCCUUACUUUUUAUACAUUAGCUCAUUUUCCCCCAAACAAUGCAAUAAAGUAAAAAAUAUUACUCUAUUUUAUAGAAACUUGCAGCUCAGAAAGGAUAAGAAACUUGCAAGUUGAUCCAAAAUAAAUUUCUAAAAAGCAUCAAAAGGUUUCAUUUCUGCAUAAUAUUAAGGACUAAAUUAUAGGAAAACUCUCUCCCUAUAAAACACUGUAAAAUGCUGGAUAAAACGUAGCAUCCCUUAUAAAAUGAAAAAACAAUUAGCCCACUAGCACUGGAAGUCAUCAAGAAAAUUGUUCUGUCUCAACAGAUGCAGGGGGGCAGUUUGAGGUUUUUCUACUACUUUCCUAGUCCUGGAACCUAUUAAGAUGAGAAAGUAACAUGAAAGUGAUCCUGAAAAAAUAAACCAAAACCUGGCUAUUUCAAUAAAUAAAUUGUAAGGGGGAGAGAGACAGAGACAGAGAGAGAGAGACACAGAGAGAGAGAAUAGAAAGGAGAGACAAAGGGUAAAUUUUUGAGUAAAGGAAAUGUUAGAAAUAUAUGAGUCAACUGCAGUGUAUAGAUCUUAUUGAGAUCCUGAUUUUGACAAAUCUAGGAGGAACUAUUAAUGAGUUAAUCAUGGAUAUUUAAACAGUGGUUUGAUUCUAUUAAGAAAUUAACUUGUUAGGUGUAUUAUUAGUAUAUUGAUUAUUUUUUAGUCUUCAUCUUUCGACUUACAUAGCAAAAUAUUUAUAAAUAAAAUGAUAUAAAGUCUGGGAUUUAGUGCAAAAUAAUCCACUGUGUAGUGUGUGUAGUGUGUGGGUGUGGAGGAAAUAUAGGAGCAUACAGAUAAGACAAGAUUGAGCAUGAGUUGAUAGUUAUCAAGGCUCGGUGAUGAGAAUAUAGAGGUUCAUUAUACAAUUGUAUCUACUCUUGUGUAUGCUUGAAAUUUUUCAUAAUAAGUAAGUUAAGGAAACAAAGUGGUUCUAGGCCUGUAACAUCACUGGGACAUAUGGCAAGACAAACCCAUCUGGAAGGGUUGUACUCUCAAAUAGGCUAUAUCAAGUUAUCAUACAUAAAGCCUCUUGGAAGAUGAACUCACAAACCAAAAUUAGCAAACACUUGAAGAAUUAAUUAUUAGUGAAGGCUAGCUCUUACAUGCAUGUACACACACACACACACACACACACACACACACACACACACACACGCUCUAAGAAUCAGAGCUAUAAGAAUUCCAAAUAAUGGAAGUAAUGAGCAGAGCCUAUAAAAAGUACAUUCAAAACAAACACAUGAAGGAAGGAACUGAAAACAUAAAGAACAGGACAGUUUUUAAAGCACCAGGGAUAUGUGAAAAUAACAUCAGUAACAACAUCAGUGAGUUCUAGAAUGAAAAAUUAAAAUUGCUGGCAGUAAAAACUCAAAGGACAAGUAAAAGGCAGAUUAAACCUAAAUGAAGAAGGGAAAAGUGAACCAGAAAAUCUGAGAAAAUAACCCAAGAUACAGCACAGAGAGAUAAAGAGAGAUGAAACAUACUAGACAGGAUAAGAAAUAUGGAGGGAGAAUAAGAAGAUUCUAAAUAUACAUCUGACAGCAAUUCCAGGCAAAGGGAACAAACUUAAUUUUAAAAUUGAGUAUAGAACCCUAAACCCCAAAAUGAGAGAAUCCACAUUUUUCCCAAGCAUUCAAGAACUGUUUAUGAAGAUUGGUCACAAAAUAAGUCUAAUCAAAUAUCAAAUAAUUGAUAUGAAAAACACAUGAACUGAGCACAAAGCAACUAAAGUGAACUCAAUAAUCAAAAGACCAGAUAAAAGACAUUAGAGAAGACUCAAAUAAAUGGUGAGAUCAUCUUUGGUCAUGUAUAGAAAGUACAAAUCCCAGGAAAUUACCAAAAGUAUUUUUCUUGGAACUUGAAAAGCCUAUUCUAAAGUGUAUAUGCAAGAGAAAAUGGCUAAGAUUCACUGAGAAAAUUUUGAAGAAGAAUAAAAUGAAGGAGGGUGGGUUGGGGGUGGGCUGCUUAUCCAUCAUCUUUAUAACAAGAUGCAUUAUAGCAUCAUUUUAAUUUAGACAAUGGUAUUGGCAUAGUGAUAGCCAAAUAAAACAAUAGAACUAAGGAAAAUCACAAAGCAAAUCUAAUAUGGAAACUUGACAGAUGAUAAAUGGGUGUAACAGAUCACUAUGAAAGGGACCGAUUAUUUAUUAAACGGUGCUAAAACAAUUAUCAAUCCAUGUGAGAAAAAAUGUAUGGACCCUUCACAUCAUUGCAAAAAGAAACCACUUAUAAUAAAGAUAUGAAUACCCAAAAGCAAACCUUUAACAUUUUUAGAAAAUGGUAUAGAAAAAUAUUUUUAUGGCCUUGGAGUAGGGAAAAAUUUCUUUAAACUACAUCAAAUCCAUAAAAAAAAGAACUGAUAAAUAUAAAUAUAUGAAGAUUAAAUCUUUUUUCAUAACAAAACACCAUAAAUAAAAGAUAUGAUACCAACCAGAAAAAGAUAUUUGUAGUACCUAAAACCAUAAAGAUUAAGUAACAAAAGUAACAAAUCCUAUAAAUAAAUAAGAAACGAACAACCCAUAGAAAAUAUUUUUUGAAUAAAUAAAUGAUAGAACACAAAAUAAAAUGGCCAAUCAACAUAAAAUAUGUUCAAUUCCAGUAGCAACACCAAAAUGCAAAUUAAAACAAGAUACCAUUGCACACAAAUAAGAUAGGUAAAGAACUCUGAUUUACCACUGGUGGAGGUGAGGUGUAAGUUAGUCCAAUUUGGAUUUGUGGUAGUGACUUGGCAAUAGCUAGUAAUUUGACGAUGUCUAUAUCUUAUGACCCAACAAUUUGACUUCUAGGAAUAUGCCUUAACAAGACUUUAUGUGCACAGGGAGUUAUAGACAAGAAUAUCCACUGUAACACCGUAAAUGCAAAAUAAAAAAUCAUUUUUGAAAACAAAUUUUCUUCAACAAGAGAAUGAAUUAACUGUUAUAUAUCCCCCCCCCCCACCACCACCACUUUCUUUUGAGACAGGGUCUUGCUCUGUUGCCCAGGCUGAAGUGCGGUGGUGCGAUCAUGGCUCACCACUGUCUCAACCUCCCAGGUUCAAAUGAUCCUCCCACCUCAGCCUCCUGAGUAGCUGGAACAACAGGCAUCUGCCACCACACCCAGCUAAUUUCUCUACAAAAAGUAUUUUUUGUAGAGACGGGGUUUUGCCAUGUUGCCCAGGCUUGAACUCCUAGGCUCAAGCAAUCCUCCCGCCUUGGCCUCCCAAAGUGCUGGGAUUACAGGUGUGAGCCACUGUACCUGGCCAAUGUUGUAUAUUCCUAACAGUGAAAUUCAGUAUAGCAAACAUGAAUGAAUGAUAUCUGUGUACUAUUAUAAAUAAAUCUCAAAAACGAUGUUGAGCAGAAAUGAUAUGAUACCAUCUGUAUAAAAAUUAAAAUAUGACAUGUUGGUUAUGGAUAUAUACAAAUUUUCAAAGUAUGAAAACAGGCUUAUGCAUAAAAAAUACCAAAUUCAGGAUAGUACAUAUCUCUGGGGAAGAUGGGAGGGGUAGGGGAAUUUGAUUAAGAAAUGAAACAUGGGAGACUUCAAUACAAUGUAAUGUUUCCUUUCUUAAAAAAUAAUAAAAAAGCAAUUAUUACAAAAUACUAAAAUUUAGCAAAGCUAGGAAUGGAUAAGUGGGCAUUUUUUUCUAUGUUAUUAUGCAUUAUUUUCUAUGUUAUUAUGCAAUUGAAAUGUUUAUAAUUUUAAAAAGCAUAGAAUUGCACAGAAUUACUGACAUUUGUUCAAAUUCACAUAGAAAUGAAAAUUUAAAAAUCAUUACCAAAUAUUUUUUGGAAAAUGAUUCUACAUUAGUAGAGCCAGAAUUCUACCCUUACUCCAAAGCUGGAGUCAUUCCUCAAAUUUCAGACCCCCUCUCCUUUCUUUUUCUGAUCUUACCCUGAGGGUUCAUCAUGUUCUUCUCUGCGCUAGCACGGUACAUUGUUUAAGGCACCACCUUGGCAUUUUGUUUUUAAAACUAAAUUGCAGUUAGUUGUACCUGUGUUUCCUCACCCAGAGACUAAGCUCUUGGGGGCACCAUACCUGGUAUAUGAAAAUACAGAGGGAGAGUGGCUAGGGUGUGGCUUCUACUCCUAACUAACUCUUGUGAUGACUUACCAAAAACUAAUCACCAAGUUCUAUAAAUACUUAUUCUUGCAAAAUAAUCAAUUUCCAAAGAAUGUAAGAGAAUCAAAGAUUGUGUUCCAGCCUUUCUCAUGAAUCAACAGGAGGGGCAGAAUUGUUACAAACAGUAUUUGUGGGAAGAAAUAAACAACCUAUAGUUUAUUUGUUUCACUUGGGGAUUUUCAAGCCCUCAGAAGAGGGAAAGGAAUCUUGCUGAUGUGGAUUGAGCCUACUCCGGUGGUAUAGUCAUGGGCUGGAUUUCAUUACUUAGCCAUAAUUAAGUCAGUUCUCAAAUUAGGUCCCAUUCUAGAAAUGACUGCAGAGAUAAUUCUAUAUUAAACUCCUGGGUUCAUAUAUGUUGAAUAGUACAAUAAAUAUAAACAUAUUAAAUAGCACAGUGCAUAGAAAUUAUACAGUAAAUCAAUAUAAAUUGAAUUAUGUAACAUUGGAAUGGGAUUGUAAAUGAGAGAACCAUCUUGUUCAACCUUUAAAAAUAUUAUCAAGUGGCUUUUCUAAUUGAGAGUACUUUAUGAAAAACAGUAUGAGGGAACAUAAAGUAAUAUAUAUUAUAAUAUUACUUCUCCUUUGAAAGUGUUUUGUCCUUUUCAACAUGAGGAGGUCAGUGUCCCCAAGCAGCCUGCAGCCUCUCCUACAUUUCCCCCUCGCCUCCCAUGGCAACACGGGUUAGCCAGACACUGAGCUUUUUGUGAUGUGUGUGUGAGGACAGAGAGAAGGGGAGCAAAGCUUCAGGGAGGUCUUGAGGUGGAAAAAUUUGUGACGCACACGAUUUGGUGACUGAAGAAGAAUUCUUUCUUGAGGGUUCUAUAACACAAUAGUUACGGUCACCCUAUGUGCAUUUAAAAAUUCCUAGUUGGUCUCAAGCCCUUAAUGCACACCGAAGCCCUUUAAGAGGCUUCUCAAACUACUUGUUCAUGGAAAGAUUAUGAGACAAAGCCAACCUGUGUGGGUUUGGUCCUUCUGUUUCAGAACCUGACUACCAAAGAGCCUGGGAGAAGUACAUAAACUUAUUGAACAUGUAACUCAUAAACUAAAAGAUUCAAACUCUGUACACAGAAUUCUGUAUGCGGUCAUGAAGAAAUCCCUUCUCAUUUAUGAUCAUACAUUUGCCUUAGGGAGUCCGAGUUUGCCCUCUUCACUGCCUUGGGUGCCCCACUAUCUUCCUGAGGUAGGCACAGUCCUCCUGCAAGUUUCUCCCUGAGAGAAGAGCACCUCCAACCUCCAACAGAAUUGAUGAGGACUGAAAUGCUGUUGCCCUUGUCUUAGAAAAUGCCUCCUUCAUAGCUUUCCUGGCAUAGCUAAAUGUGAGAUAGGGCUAAGCCUGUGAGAUCAGGCUAAUGGCCUGAUAUGCAUGCCACACCUGAUACUUUAGAAGGAAGCCAGCCAAGGAAGUGUUUUUUCCCCCACUUAGUAAUAAAGCUAAAAUUCUCUCGCUCGUCAAAGUCUAGUUAACACAUUAGCAGCCCCCUCCCCCUUUUCUGGUCUCCUGUCAUUAUCUUCCAUACAAGAGAGAGGGCUUGAUAAUAACAUAUCUUAAAGGGGUUUUUAAUUGCUCCUUACAGUGAAUGCUGAAUCUAACGCUUUAAAAACAACUGAGUAGAAUGCCACUUAAAAGCGCUUCCUCCAGGUUUCUCACCACCUCUCUCAGUACCACGGCACUCCCAGCCAGGGGAGAGUUGCUCAUUUCUGCAAAGAUUAGAAGCAGGUCCAACAGAACUUCUUCAGCAGAAUCUGAGAAUGCUCAUUUGUGAACAAACUGUCUGCUUUCCAACGUCCCGUCACUUACUGGACUUUUGCCAGCCCCAGGAAACACCAUAAUGAAACACUCACAUUUAUGAAAUUCACAAUUAGGGACCGUGGCUCUAGCAACAUUAGCUCAGAGAGCAUCAACUUUAAAUAUGCUCAAAAAUCAAACUGGAGAGCUUACAGUAUCCCAUCGUGGCCAUCCCUUUUCGUUUUGGAACUGAGAUUGGACCAAUUGUUAUGAAAGGCUGCAUGUUUUAGUCUUCCCUGGUCUUUCCCUCUUGGGUGGCUUGGGUUUGUGCAAUACAGUACUUAGUGAAGGAAAAGCAGAGCCCAGCUCAGGACUUCUUAAGUGAGGGAACAGAAUCCAAUGAGAAGCCCUUAAAUGUGUGUCAAAAUGAAGAUCUACCAAAGAGUGAAGGCACCUACUAAAGGCUAUUACCUCAUAAGGCUCAAAGGGCGGGUGGGGGGUGCCCACAGUAUGCAAUCACCACCCCCCACAGGACAGCAGGCUUGGUCAAUGGCUGAACAUAUAAGCAUUCCCCAAUGGUACCACUCAGCCAGCCACCUUUGCAUCAGAAGCCAAAGUAUCCUUGAGCUACAUCUUGACAUCAGGAUACUCCCUGGAGCAUAAAGAAAUGCAGGAAUUUACAGCGUGGAGGUUCCUAAGCCUUAAAGAGUUAAUGCAGCAAAGGAAAUGCCUAAGUUAACCUUAGAAUUGUAUUCACUAGCUAGAUUUACUUGAUUUUAUUUUUACAGAAAUUUGACAAAAGAAGCAAUCUGUAAAUGCAAUGAAAACAGCUUCCUCCAUAUGUCUCACUACUGGCAUGAGCACGGAGCCGCGCCACCCCAUCGUACCUCCGUGUGUCAGAUUACGGGCUCAGAAUACCCCUCGGAAACACUCAGACUUCUAGCUGUUCCAAGAAAGCCGUAGGGCUUUCAAUAAUAAGCUGUAAAACGAGCUUAAGAGUCACUGAGGUUGCUGUGCAAAUGUAUAACCCUCACCGGAAAUGCUAUGGACUGAAUUGUGUCCCCGUAAGUCAUAUGUUGAAGCUGUAACCUCAAAAGUAACUAUAUUUGGAGAUAGGGCUUUUAGGAGGUAAUUAAGGUUAAAUAAGAUCCUAAGCAUGGGGUCCUAAUCCAACAGGACUGGAGGAUUCAUGAGAAGAGGAAGAGAAAGAGAUCUCUUCUUCUCUUCACAUGCAUGAACUGAGAAAAGACCAUGUGAGCACACAGCAAGAAGGCAGCCGCCUGCAAGCCAGGAAGAGAACCCUCCCUAGCCCCUGACCAUGUUGACACCCUGAUCUUGGACUUCCCGUCUCCAGAACUGUGAGAAAAUGAAUGUUUGCUGUUUAAGUCACCCAGUCUACGGUAUUUUGUUAUAGCAGCCUGAGCCGACUAAGACAGAAAGAAAAAUGUAUUUUAGUUAAUGCCAUAUGUGUAGGUGUACACAUAUGAAUUUUAAAAUUAACCAGGGUGAUGGAGUGAGCUGCUUCACUCAGGCAUCUGACAGUUACUCUUGCCAAGUUUUAUCUCAAUACACAGAGAUCUGAGACUGCAUCCAAAGCAUCUGAAAGAGGGUGUGCCUAUGGAAUAGGUUUUUAUAUAGCUUAUGCUGUAAAGCCUGUUCCUAGCAUCUAUUUUUUUAAAAGAAGUUCACUGUAAGCUUAUGAACUCAUCGUGAUAAACCUAGACUUGAACAUUUACAGCAAAUAAUAACUGGAAGGUUAAACUAUGACAUCAUGAGGUCCCAUCCAGCUCUGGAUUUUGAUGGACAUUUUUUGACCAGUACUUCCUUAGUUUGCCAGGAUGGAAGACCUAAAAAUGAACUGCAUUUUGCAGUGAAUUAUACCUAAUUAAAGUUUAAUGACUAGAUUACAUUCCUGUCUGAUAUGGUUUGAUUCUGUGUCCCCACCCAAAUCUCUCUUGAAUUGUAAUCCCCAUGUGUUGAGGGGGAAACCUGGUGGAAGGUGGUUUGAUCAUGGGGGUGGUUCCCCCUAUGCUCUUCUCAUGAGAAGAUGAGAUAGUGAGUUCUCAUGAGAUCUGAUGGCUUAUAAGUGGCAGUUUCCCCAGUGCUCUCUCUCCUGCAGCCCUGUAAGAUAUGAUUUGCUUCUCCUUUGCCUUCUGCCAUGAUUGUAAGUUUCCUGAGGCCUCCUCAGCCAUGUGGAAUUGUCAGUCAAUUAAACCUCCUUUCUUUAUAAAUUAGUCUCACGUAGUAUCUUUAUAGCAGCGUGAGAACAGACUAAUACACUAUCCUACAGUAACAUAGAAACAUAUAUGCUGAACUCUUCAACAUAACCUUAUGUGUUUCCUUUUAAUGUUAUCAUUAACCCUUCAGGCCACAAUACAACCAAGUGGAUCCAGUGAAAGACCAUCCUUAAUAGAAAUGUCUCAGAUACAGCUAAAGGCAAGAGCAAAUCUAGAAAACACCCAUUUUCUCAGACCACACUGAAAGAGGGCAUCAUAUUGGCAAUCUAUCUAUUCAACUGUUAGACCAAACAUUAGAGAAACCUAUGCCAUUGUUUUCUUCGUAAAAGGUUAAGAGUGGUAAUAUCAACAUCUAGCAUUCAGCCACAUCAAUCCUAAUAUGUCCUAUUCUAGUUAGGAGAGUGCAUAUAAGUCAAAUGACCUUCCUGAGUCCUGCCAUUUUAUAACAUGAAAUAAAAAAUCUAAGUAAUGUUAAGUUAAUAUGUUCUGAAUUCUUCUAGAAUCCAGAAGCCAAAAUGGAGUAAUAACACAUUCCUUACUAUUACCUCAUAGUUGUCUUAAAUGUCAUAAAUAAAUUUGUCUGUGUUUGAAUAUACAACUACAGUCAGCCCUCUGUAUCAAUGGGUUCCAUAUCCAUGAAUAUAAUCAACCACGGAUCAAAAACAUUUGGAUAAAAAAAGGAUGGUUGUGUCUGUACUGAACAUGUACAGACCUUUUCAUGUCAUUAUUCCCUCAAUAAUAUAGUGUGUCAACUGUUUACAUAGUAUUUAUAUUGUAUUAGGUAUUAUAAGUAAUCUAGAAAUGAUUUAAAGCAUAUGUAGGAUGUGCAUAAAUUAUAUGCAAAUACUACACCAUUUUAUAGCAGGGACUUGAGUAUCUGUGAAUUUUGGUAUCAGGAGUCCCAGUACCAAUCCCCUGCAGAUACUAAGGGAUGACUGAAUAUAGCUUAAAAAUGGGCAUAUGCAUGUUCAAACAGAAGCUCUGAUAAUGGCAAGUAUGGAAUAAAUAGAUUUCAGUUCAACAUUUAUUAAUUA